CAACCGUGAAUCUUCUUCUUAUUUUUUAAAUUUUUUUCAACAGACAAUCUCAGUGAAUCGACACCCAACAACUCCCUCUCAUUUGCUCUUGAGUAAGCCGUGAACCAUUUCGAAAAGGAAGAAAAUCACCAAAGUGUGUGCUCGUCUCGAGGCGAACUGACCCAUUUUGUUGAGAUGCUAGAGUUAGUUGUGUUGGCCAAGUGUGAUUUGCUUUCACCUCUUAUGUCAAGGUUGGUCUAUAAUUUGGCUCGUAGCAUAUAUGAAUCUACUAAACUUUAUUAUUAUGUUUUGUCGUAAUAUUCAUACUCUCUGUAUUUUCAGUGGACGGAAAAACAUAACUUUA
Dioscorea cayenensis subsp. rotundata (Guinea yam) is the source of this 343-nucleotide long non-coding RNA. RefSeq lists it as uncharacterized. The record is from RefSeq and is a predicted model, not a curated record. The transcript has 3 exons. NCBI's taxonomy places the organism in Eukaryota, Viridiplantae, Streptophyta, Magnoliopsida, Dioscoreales, Dioscoreaceae.